UCCCUGGUGGCUCGUAUGGUAAAGCGUCUGCCUGCAAUGCAGGAGACCCGGGUUUGAUCCUUGGGCUGGGAA
This 72-nucleotide transfer RNA is filed under the name Ovis aries (sheep). It matches the Rfam family "tRNA". Rfam says of the family: Transfer RNA (tRNA) molecules are approximately 80 nucleotides in length. Their secondary structure includes four short double-helical elements and three loops (D, anti-codon, and T loops). The record is from Rfam by way of RNAcentral. Lineage: Eukaryota; Metazoa; Chordata; Mammalia; Artiodactyla; Bovidae.